CGAGGGAAAGGUUGAUGUCUGGAAACAUGCAAAGAUCUUUAUAGGAAACAUUCCUAUAAUCUCCGAUUCCCUGCAAAUUCCUCAUGGCCUGUUUUAAACUUUUCAACCUCCAUGCUAUGAUUUUAUGUUCCUCUGUUGCGAUGGGUUUCUCCGUAUCAAAUGGAAAUGUAGGUGGCUGAGUGUACCCAUAUGGUUCAUUCAUUCUCAAAGUAGGCUCCGGGG
This 222-nucleotide long non-coding RNA is filed under the name Capsicum annuum. RNAcentral's name for it is "long non-coding RNA (CANN_LNC014795)". Lineage: Eukaryota; Viridiplantae; Streptophyta; Magnoliopsida; Solanales; Solanaceae. The record is from RNAcentral.